This 1581-nucleotide ribosomal RNA is filed under the name uncultured bacterium VC2.1 Bac35. RNAcentral describes it as "16S ribosomal RNA". It matches the Rfam family "Bacterial small subunit ribosomal RNA". The record is from RNAcentral.
AGCGAACGCUGGCGGCGUGCUUAAAACAUGCAAGUCGUGCGCCUUGUGCCCUGAGCCGCCAUGGAUACCAUUUCUGGAACUUCUGCUCCUUCGGGAGCAGGAGGGAAGGGGAUGGUUGAAGUGGGGGUGAAGGGAGCCACACAGGCAGCGGCAAACGGGUGGGUAACGCGUGGGUAACCUACCCUGGAGACGGGGAUAACCCUGGGAAACUGGGGCUAAUACCCGAUGGUCUUAUCCUGGGGCAACCUGGGAUAAGUAAAGGUGGGGAUUCCUUUUGGAACCUGCCGCUCCAGGAGGGGCCUGCGUCCCAUCAGGUAGUUGGUGAGGUAACGGCUCACCAAGCCGGCGACGGGUAGCUGGCCUGAGAGGGUGGUCAGCCACAGUGGGACUGAGACACGGCCCACACUCCUACGGGAGGCAGCAGUGAGGAAUAUUGCGCAAUGGGCGAAAGCCUGACGCAGCGACGCCGCGUGGAGGAUGAAGGCCUUCGGGUUGUAAACUCCUUUCAGCAGGGAAGAAUGUCUGGUGGGUGAAUAGCCCAUUCAGGCUGACGGUACCUGCAGAAGAAGCGCNGGUAAUCCGUGCCAGCAGCCGCGGUAAUACGGAGGCGUNAGCGUUGUUNGGAAUUACUGGCGUAAAGCGGGUGUAGGCGGUCUGAUAAGUCGGGUGUUAAAGCCCACGGCUCAACCGUGGAACAGCAUCCGAAACUGUCAGACUAGAGUGCAGGAGAGGGAGAUGGAAUUCCUGGUGGAGCGGUGAAAUGCGUUGAUAUCAGGAGGAACACCAGUGGCGAAGGCGGUCUCCUGGCCUGCAACUGACGCUGAGACUCGAAAGCGUGGGGAGCAAACAGGAUUAGAGACCCUGGUAGUCCACGCCGUAAACGAUGCGCACUAGGUGUGGGAGGACAUCGACCCCUUCCGUGCCGAAGCUAACGCAUUAAGUGCGCCGCCUGGGGAGUAAGCCCGCAAGGGUGAAACUCAAAGGAAUUGACGGGGGCCCGCACAAGCGGUGGAGCAUGUGGUUUAAUUCGAUGCAACGCGAAGAACCUUACCCGGGCUUGACAUGCAGGUAGUACCGAACCGAAAGGGGAGGGAUCCCGAUGCUCGCAUCGGGAAGCCUGCACAGGUGCUGCAUGGCUGUCGUCAGCUCGUGCCGUGAGUGUUGGGUUAAGUCCCGCAACGAGCGCAACCCCCGCCCUUAGUUGCCAGCAGGCCCUAUAUGGGUGCUGGGCACUCUAAGGGGACUGCCCGGGAAACCGGGAGGAAGGUGGGGAUGACGUCAAGUCAUCAUGGCCCUUAUGCCCGGGGCUACACACGUGCUACAAUGGCCAGAACAGAGGGUUCCGAAACCGCGAGGUGGAGGCAAUCCCUAAACCUGGUCCCAGUUCGGAUUGCAGUCUGCAACUCGACUGCAUGAAGCCGGAAUCGCUAGUAAUCGCGGGUCAGCAAUACCGCGGUGAAUACGUUCUCGGGCCUUGUACACACCGCCCGUCACACCACGAAAGCCGGCAACACCCGAAGUCGGUGACCCAACCCCUUUUGGGGAGGGAGCCGCCUAAGGUGGGGCUGGUGAUUGGGGUGC